AGUGAACGCUGGCGGUAGGCCUAACACAUGCAAGUCGAACGGCAGCACAGUAAGAGCUUGCUCUUACGGGUGGCGAGUGGCGGACGGGUGAGGAAUACAUCGGAAUCUACUUUUUCGUGGGGGAUAACGUAGGGAAACUUACGCUAAUACCGCAUACGACCUACGGGUGAAAGCAGGGGAUCUUCGGACCUUGCGCGAUUGAAUGAGCCGAUGUCGGAUUAGCUAGUUGGCGGGGUAAAGGCCCACCAAGGCGACGAUCCGUAGCUGGUCUGAGAGGAUGAUCGGCCACACUGGAACUGGGACACGGUCCAGACUCCUACGGGAGGCAGCAGUGGGGAAUAUUGGACAAAGGGCGCAAGCCUGAUCCAGCCAUACCGCGUGAGUGAAGAAGGCCUUCGGGUUGUAAAGCCCUUUUGUUGGGAAAGAAAAACAGCAGGUUAAUACCCCGCUGUUCUGACGGUACCCAAAGAGUAAGCACCGGCUAACUUCGUG
Molecule: ribosomal RNA, 492 nt
Filed under: uncultured bacterium
Lineage: Bacteria
Description: partial 16S ribosomal RNA
Rfam family: Bacterial small subunit ribosomal RNA
Source: RNAcentral